This is a small nucleolar RNA of Caenorhabditis elegans, 117 nucleotides long. The record is from Ensembl. NCBI's taxonomy places the organism in Eukaryota, Metazoa, Nematoda, Chromadorea, Rhabditida, Rhabditidae.
GUCACGGGAGCAAUUUCUAGGCCAUCAAAAUUGUUCUCACGUGUCGAAGUUAAAUUCGAGAAUAUAAUGAGAAAUCUUAGACCACGCAAAGAAUUUUCAGGUCAAAAUGUGAAAUCA